RNAcentral lists this ribosomal RNA (942 nucleotides) under Staphylococcus aureus. RNAcentral describes it as "bacterial SSU rRNA". It matches the Rfam family "Bacterial small subunit ribosomal RNA", at positions 130 to 1056 of the family's 1533-position model. Lineage: Bacteria; Bacillati; Bacillota; Bacilli; Caryophanales; Staphylococcaceae. The record is from RNAcentral.
CUAUAAGACUGGGAUAACUUCGGGAAACCGGAGCUAAUACCGGAUAAUAUUUUGAACCGCAUGGUUCAAAAGUGAAAGACGGUCUUGCUGUCACUUAUAGAUGGAUCCGCGCUGCAUUAGCUAGUUGGUAAGGUAACGGCUUACCAAGGCAACGAUGCAUAGCCGACCUGAGAGGGUGAUCGGCCACACUGGAACUGAGACACGGUCCAGACUCCUACGGGAGGCAGCAGUAGGGAAUCUUCCGCAAUGGGCGAAAGCCUGACGGAGCAACGCCGCGUGAGUGAUGAAGGUCUUCGGAUCGUAAAACUCUGUUAUUAGGGAAGAACAUAUGUGUAAGUAACUGUGCACAUCUUGACGGUACCUAAUCAGAAAGCCACGGCUAACUACGUGCCAGCAGCCGCGGUAAUACGUAGGUGGCAAGCGUUAUCCGGAAUUAUUGGGCGUAAAGCGCGCGUAGGCGGUUUUUUAAGUCUGAUGUGAAAGCCCACGGCUCAACCGUGGAGGGUCAUUGGAAACUGGAAAACUUGAGUGCAGAAGAGGAAAGUGGAAUUCCAUGUGUAGCGGUGAAAUGCGCAGAGAUAUGGAGGAACACCAGUGGCGAAGGCGACUUUCUGGUCUGUAACUGACGCUGAUGUGCGAAAGCGUGGGGAUCAAACAGGAUUAGAUACCCUGGUAGUCCACGCCGUAAACGAUGAGUGCUAAGUGUUAGGGGGUUUCCGCCCCUUAGUGCUGCAGCUAACGCAUUAAGCACUCCGCCUGGGGAGUACGACCGCAAGGUUGAAACUCAAAGGAAUUGACGGGGACCCGCACAAGCGGUGGAGCAUGUGGUUUAAUUCGAAGCAACGCGAAGAACCUUACCAAAUCUUGACAUCCUUUGACAACUCUAGAGAUAGAGCCUUCCCCUUCGGGGGACAAAGUGACAGGUGGUGCAUGGUUGUCGUC